This 461-nucleotide ribosomal RNA is filed under the name uncultured Cytophagaceae bacterium. RNAcentral describes it as "partial 16S ribosomal RNA". The record is from RNAcentral. Lineage: Bacteria; Pseudomonadati; Bacteroidota; Cytophagia; Cytophagales; Cytophagaceae.
GACUACCGGGGUAUCUAAUCCUGUUUGAUCCCCACGCUUUCGUGCAUCAGCGUCAGUAUAUUCGUAGCAACCUGCCUUCGCAAUCGGUAUUCCUUCCGGUAUCUAUGCAUUUCACCGCUACACCGGAAAUUCUAGCUGCCUCCAAAUAACUCAAGCUCAACAGUAUCGAUGGCAUGUAAAACAGUUAAGCUGCUACCUUUUACCACCGACUUAUUAAGCCGCCUACGCACCCUUUAAACCCAAUAAAUCCGGAUAACGCUCGCCACCUACGUAUUACCGCGGCUGCUGGCACGUAGUUAGCCGUGGCUUAUUCUAAUGGUACCGUCAUUAUAGCUCGCAAGCCACACAUUCUUCCCAUUCAAAAGCAGUUUACAACCCAGAGGGCCGUCUUCCUGCACGCGGCAUGGCUGGGUCAGAGUUGCCUCCAUUGCCCAAUAUUCCCUACUGCAGCCCCCCGUAGG